UACGUAGGGUGCGAGCGUUAAUCGGAAUUACUGGGCGUAAAGCGUGCGCAGGCGGUUUGGUAAGACAGAUGUGAAAUCCCCGGGCUCAACCUGGGAAUUGCAUUUGUGACUGCACGGCUAGAGUGUGUCAGAGGGGGGUAGAAUUCCACGUGUAGCAGUGAAAUGCGUAGAGAUGUGGAGGAAUACCGAUGGCGAAGGCAGCCCCCUGGGAUAACACUGACGCUCAUGCACGAAAGCGUGGGGAGCAAACAGG
Molecule: ribosomal RNA, 253 nt
Filed under: uncultured bacterium
Lineage: Bacteria
Description: partial 16S ribosomal RNA
Rfam family: Bacterial small subunit ribosomal RNA
Source: RNAcentral